UCACAAGCAUACCAAUUCUUUUCAACAGCAUUCAGCUGGUCCAGAGAGCCCAGUGCGAUUGAAACGUAUGUAGCCCCCAUAUUUCCACAGUGCUAAGCUGGACCUACCGAACUGAUGAGGUUUUUACAACUGGACCAUUCAUGCUCAUACAGCAUUCGACAAGGAAGCAGCCCGCCACUCAAUACGUCAAUGUCAAUCAUACGACGAGAUGUGCGAUGAUGAUGUAUUAGUUACGUAUAUUUGCCAAAACCAAUUAUCCGUGGUUUCCCAAAGGAAGGCAUGGCUACAGUUUGUGCUACAAUGUUCGUCACCUCAUUGGUGAUGACCUUUUGCAAAGUCGGCGUCGGAGGCGGAGGAUGGAGAGAAAUCAGUAAUCCGAACGCGUUCCAGCUCCGCGCUUUAGCGCGCUUCGCCUAUAAAAAACAAAAGGGGCCAAGUGCUGUUGGCGUAACAUUUCUCGUAACGCAAGCCAGAUGGAAGACUACGGGAGGAACAAUGUACAACAUUGGAUUCAUUGUCUCCCGGGGACCUACGAUUCUCGAGAAAUGUAUUGCCAUACUUACGAUACUCCCCAUUCUCGGCACUGGCCGGCGCAGAGUCGUCAAUAGAUUUUGGUGCCGGCCGGUACCCUAGCAAGAAGCUGUUGCGUACAACGGGAGGACUGU
Long non-coding RNA from Rhipicephalus microplus (southern cattle tick), 665 nucleotides. The record is from RefSeq and is a predicted model, not a curated record. NCBI's taxonomy places the organism in Eukaryota, Metazoa, Arthropoda, Arachnida, Ixodida, Ixodidae.